UACCCAGGACUAAAGAGACGCCAGUCCAGAGUAGAGUCCGUAGGCAGCCAAGCUGGGCCCAGCGUGGGGGCAAAUAUGAGGCAACAAUGAACGGGGUAGGUGAGGCUGGCAUGGGUGACUCAGGCCAGUGGGCAGCAGCCCUGGGAUCUCCAGGCCUCAGGCGGGGGCAGCAUGCUGAGAAGGGCGCCAGCCUCCCUCAUGCUGGAGGGCAGGCCCCUCAUUCUGACCUGCCAGCUCCCUUUGUUUGGAGGACACUGUUGGGGGUGAGUGGGCGCUGUGCCCUCCUGGGGUCCUGGGGGCUGUGCACAUUUGACAAGGUUCCGGAAUGAGGACUACACCAUACAUGUGCAGCUGAAUGACUACGUGGACAUCAUCUGUCCGCACUAUGAGGAUCACUCUGUGGCAGAUGCUGCCAUGGAGCAGUACAUACUGUACCUGGUGGAGCAUGAGGAGUACCAGCUGUGCCAGCCCCAGUCCAAGGACCAAGUCCGCUGGCAGUGCAACCGGCCCAGUGCCAAGCAUGGCCCGGAGAAGCUGUCUGAGAAGUUCCAGCGCUUCACACCUUUCACCCUGGGCAAGGAGUUCAAAGAAGGACACAGCUACUACUACAUCUCCAAACCCAUCCACCAGCAUGAAGACCGCUGCUUGAGGUUGAAGGUGACUGUCAGUGGCAAAAUCACUCACAGUCCUCAGGCCCAUGACAAUCCACAGGAGAAGAGACUUGCAGCAGAUGACCCAGAGGUGCGGGUUCUACAUAGCAUCGGUCACAGUGCUGCCCCACGCCUCUUCCCACUUGCCUGGACUGUGCUGCUCCUUCCACUUCUGCUGCUGCAAACCCCGUGAAGGUGUAUGCCACACCUGGCCUUAAAGAGGGACAGGCUGAAGAGAGGGACAGGCACUCCAAACCUGUCUUGGGGCCACUUUCAGAGCCCCCAGCCCUGGGAACCACUCCCACCACAGGCAUAAGCUAUCACCUAGCAGCCUCAAAACGGGUCAGUAUUAAGGGUUUCAACCGGAAGGAGGCCAACCAGCCCGGCAGUGCCAUCCCCACCUUCACCUCGGAGGGAUGGAGAAAGAAGUGGA
RNAcentral lists this small RNA (1083 nucleotides) under Pan troglodytes (chimpanzee). Its description in RNAcentral is "processed transcript". Lineage: Eukaryota; Metazoa; Chordata; Mammalia; Primates; Hominidae. The record is from RNAcentral.